RNAcentral lists this ribosomal RNA (16 nucleotides) under rice phyllosphere bacterium A. Its description in RNAcentral is "partial 16S ribosomal RNA". The record is from RNAcentral.
UGCGGCUGGAUCACCU